Molecule: long non-coding RNA, 262 nt
Filed under: Solanum tuberosum (potato)
Lineage: Eukaryota; Viridiplantae; Streptophyta; Magnoliopsida; Solanales; Solanaceae
Description: long non-coding RNA (STUB_LNC004395)
Source: RNAcentral
CAUGACUACAUAACUACUUUCUCUGUCGCAAUUUAUGUGACACAUUUCGUUUUUUGAGAGUCAAAUCGUUUAAAUUUGACCAGGAAUUUGCGCAUGAAUUCACUUGGGCAAAACUUCUUGUAUUUAUAAAUUGAUGGAAGGAAUUAUCUUCAUUAUAGUCAUAACAAGCUACAACAAUAACAAAACUUAGAACAUAAUUACCAUUAACACAUGUUACAAACACUCAUAGUUCCUAAUUACAAAAUGUUCGAUAACAUUCUUC